UUAAUUUAUUAAAAUGUUUACUCCGACUGACGAUUAAAGUAGUGUUUGGUUGGUCCUCUGGCGGGCGCUGACCGAUCCGUGAAGACCGGCGGUCCGGAGACCGUCCCGCCAAAGCAACAGGUUUGUUCAACAUCAAAGGGUGGGAGGUCGGGCCCCGGAGGACCCUCGCUCAUUAAUGAUCCUUCCGCAGGUUCACCUACGGAAA
RNAcentral lists this unclassified non-coding RNA (205 nucleotides) under uncultured fungus. Its description in RNAcentral is "sequence contains ITS1". The record is from RNAcentral. Lineage: Eukaryota; Fungi.